CUGCUAUAGCAGGCAAUUCCACGUGAGCCUUACGGUGCUACCUCAGUAGGAGGCUACAAUUGCCGUGAGAGCAUCGGAAAUUUUGCAGCGAAGUUGGCACAUGAAGAACUGAAGCACGCCCAUCGAGCACCGAUGUAUUUGCAAGGACAACGUUUGAAACCACCUGCGAUGACACCUCCUUCCUCGGAUGAGAUGCUGUACUAAGAGGCCCCACCAGACUACAUUCCUUCCUGCUCCAGACCACCCGCAUCCCACUUAGGCACUCCAGCGUCCGCUACGUUGAAGCCGAAUAUCUUGGUCUUGAGGCACAUUUUGCUUGAGCGAUUCGGCGGCCAUGCGAACACUUCCACCAGGGAAGAAACCGCAAUUAUGAAGACUUCUUUCACGGUCAGCGUGAGUCGGUACUACCAUUCCCAAGUCUAACACCACGAGAACAACCAAGAAAGAUGAACCUUUCUUUCAGACAAAAGAGAACUCCGAAUAAGCAGAUCCUCCCAGAGUGUUCACGGUGUAUGUCAUCGACAGUUUCCCGGCGGGGCGAAAUGCUCUUCUCGGCAGUCUUCCAGUGUCCAGGAUGGUGCAUAAUGUGACAUGUUGUCCACGAAUAUCUACAAUGUGCACCCGGGAAUUGUGCAGAAGAUCAUUGAAUCUAGCUUUUUUUUUUCUUUGUAAAGCAACACAGAAUGAAAGCGUCAGUAUUCCUGUAUGCGAUGGUAACAUGCGGCCUGCUGUGCCGAGAAGUAUUAAGGCGUGCGAGCGCAGGCGCUAACAGUCUUGUUCAUGCUAUUUACACUACUAAGCCAACGAGCGAAAGAGCAAAGCCGCCUUCUGGCUUACCCUUGUCUGGAUAUGGACCAACGUCCCAAACCAAAACUACCCCCCGGAGAAGCAUGGCUCGGGUUUGGGGGCUGCUUGUUGGAGGCGAAAUGAAUGAUGACGACGGAAGCAAUGGUUGCGCGUUCUACUUUGUAGAACCCAACUCUUCCUGAUCUGACAAGGCAGCCCACAUAAUAAAGUGCUUAAUGACUCCUGAUGCGUUAUGCAAAAAAUGCCUCUAAUACAAGAAACCACAAAUAAAACGUUAAUGAACCUGGCACGUGCGCAAUAAAUGUCAUUUUAACGU
RNAcentral lists this long non-coding RNA (1123 nucleotides) under Dermacentor andersoni. RNAcentral's name for it is "uncharacterized LOC126521844". The record is from RNAcentral. Lineage: Eukaryota; Metazoa; Arthropoda; Arachnida; Ixodida; Ixodidae.